Molecule: long non-coding RNA, 1128 nt
Organism: Drosophila pseudoobscura
Lineage: Eukaryota; Metazoa; Arthropoda; Insecta; Diptera; Drosophilidae
Exons: 9
Source: RefSeq, a predicted model, not a curated record
GGGAUGACUUCUGGCUGCUUACUUAGUUGCUGACAUACAUAUGUAAAUUUAUUAUGUACAUACAGCUAAUUUCGUACACCAAUAUGUGUUUUAUUUAUUUAAUUGGCAGGUUUUGUCUUCAGCUUUGUAAUAAUUUGUAUGUAAUUUUGUGUAGUUUAUGUUGUUAUAUUUGUUGGCUCUUUUUUUUUUAGGACUUUGGUUGUUUUAGUUUCAGGUUUGCGGCAGAUUUGGUAAGUGUUUUAAAUUGUAUUUUGGCUGAAUUUAAUUUUGUUUUAUUUACAGGUUUGGUAAUAGAGUGUCAUCAAUCAAGUUAGGUAAUUUAUGUUGUUAUAUUUGUUGACUUUUAAUGAGUAUAGUGUUUUAUUUUCAGGUUUAAAGAAAAUUGGUGUGAAAAAGAAAAAGUGAUUUCAAUUGUUUUUACGCCAAUUGUAAUUUUAUUUUAUCUGCAGUUUUAUUUUUUUGCUGGUUUGGUGGUAAGGUGUCACAUGCAAUGGCUGUUGCGCUUGAUGUCUACAACUUGUUUGCGUAUUUACUGACAUUGAUUGUUAUGUAAAUAGUUAUUUUGUACGUAUGUAUGUAUGUAUGUAUGUAUGUAUGUAUGAUAGAUUUGGUGGUAAGGUGUCAGUAAUCAUGAUAAAUUUGGUGGUAAGGUGCCAGUAAUCAAGGACCAGCUUAGAAUUUGUCGACAAAGUUGGGUGAAUCCAUGUAUGACGUGAGGGUCCUUCGCCACAUUUUAAUGCAGAUUUAUUCCAAUAUUCAUGAUAAAUUUGGUGGUAAGGUGCCAGUAAUCAAGGACCAGCUUAGAAUUUGUCGACAAAGUUGGGUGAUUCCAUGUAUGACGUGAGGGUCCUUCGCCACAUUUUAAUGCAGAUUUAUUCCAAUGUUUUUCUAUUUUCAGAUUCAUGAUAAAUUUGGUGGUAAGGUGUUAAUAAUCAAGGACCAGCUUUGGAUUUGUCGAGCAAAAUUGGGUGUUUCCAUGCAUCCUGUUUGACCCUUGUUUCGAUGACCAUGCAUUCCAAAAGGCUACCCUUAACGUAUUGGGAUUGUUGUUGUUGCUGCUGUAAUUUGUGUGCAUGAAUAAAUUUGUAUUGGCUGGAUGUCAAUGUUGCCUGUGAUAUUAACAUGAGU